GGCAGAUGAUGUUUAUCUUCACGAUGGUCUUCAGAUGCCUGCCACGGGCACUGCUGAGCAAGCCACUUAGCACAGCUGAAGCCAGAGC
Non-coding RNA from Pteropus alecto (black flying fox), 88 nucleotides. Lineage: Eukaryota; Metazoa; Chordata; Mammalia; Chiroptera; Pteropodidae. The record is from Rfam.